RNAcentral lists this long non-coding RNA (6881 nucleotides) under Marmota monax (woodchuck). Lineage: Eukaryota; Metazoa; Chordata; Mammalia; Rodentia; Sciuridae. The record is from RNAcentral.
CCUUGGUCAAUCCUCAGCACCACAUAAAAAUAAAUAAAUAAAUGAAUAAAUAAAUAAAGGUAUUGUGUCUAACUGCAACUAAAAAAUAAAUAUUUUUUUAAAAAAGAAAGAAAAUGAGACUAAGCCAGGCAGGGCAGGCCUGUAAUCUAAGUGGCUUGGGAGGUGGAGACAGGAGGAUUGCCAGUUCAGAGCUAGCCUCAGCAAAAGUAAGAUGCUAAAAAACUCAGUGAGACCCUGUCUCAAAAUAAAAUACAGAAUAGGGCUGGGGAUGUGACUCAGUAGUUGAGUGCCCAAGUUCAAUCCUCACUACAAAAAAAAAAAAAAGAAAGAAAAUGAGAAUAAAAGUGUCACUGAAAAACAAAAAUCAACUAAAGGUAAAAAAAACCCUGUAUGGAUGAAGUAUUGUUAAUUACUUAAAGUACAAGCAUUAAAUGUUUCAAUCAAUAGGCAGAAUGGAAUAAAAAAGAUCCAAUGAUAUUCUGUUUGCAACAGAUUCACAUUAAAACUAGAGAUUCAAGUAGAUUUAUAAUGAAAGAAUGAAAAGGGAUAUUCCAUUCAAAAGAUUGCUGGAAUGAUUGUACUAAUUUCACACAAAAUAGAUUUAAUGAGUAAAAAAUUACAAGACACUCAGGGACAUUACAUAAUAAAAUUUUUAUUGGUUCUUUUUAGUUAUACAUGACAAUAGAAUUAAUUUUGAUAUAAUUAUACAAGCAUGAAAUAUAUCUUAUUCUAGUUAGGAUGUACAUGUGUGAUGUACGUGAUGGUGGGAUUGAUGAUGGUGUAUUCAUAUAAGUACAUAGGAAAUUUGUUUUGGAUUUAUUGCACUGUCUUUCCUUUUAUUCCCUCUCUUCCCUUUCUCCCUCUUUACCUUAUCUACUGAACUUCUGUUUUCUCCUCUUCCCACUUAUUGUGGUUAGUAUACACAUAUCAGCAAAAACAUUCGACCUUUGGUUUUUUGGGACUGGUUUAUUUUACUUAGAAUAGUUGUCUCCAGGUCCAUCCAUUUAUUUAGAAAUGUCAUAAAGUCAUUCUUCUUUAUAACUGAGUAAUACUCCAUUGUGUAUGUAUACCACAUUUUCUUUGUCCAUUAUCUGUUGAAGAGCAUCUAGGUUGGUUCCAUAGCUUAGUAUUGUGAAUUGUGCUGCUAUAAACAUUGAUAUAAACAUCACUGUAAUAUGCUGAUUUAAAAUCUUUUGGAUUUAAACCAGGUUGAGAUAAAUGGGUCAAAUGGUGGUUCUAUUCCUAGGUUUUGAGGAAUCUCCAUACUGCUUUCCAGAGUGGUUGUACCAAUUUGCAGUCUCACUCAAUGUGUGAGUGUACCUUUUUCCCCACAUCCUUGCCAAUAUUUAUUGUUACUUGUAUUCUUGAUAAUUGCCAUUCUGAUUGGAGUGAGAUAGAAUCUCAGUGUAGUUUUAAUUUGCAUUUCUCCAAUUUCUAGAGAUGUUGAACAUUUUUUCAUGUAUUUAUUGACCAUUUGUAUUUCUUCUUUUGGAAGUAUCUGUUUAGUACUUUGCCCAUUUAUUGAUUGGGUUAUUUGGUUGUUUUAGUGUUGAGCUUUUUGAGUUCUUUGUAUAUCCUGGAAAUUAAAACCCUAUCUGAGGUACAGGUGGCAAAGAUUUUCUCUCAUUCUGUAGGCUGUCUCUUCAUACUCUUGAUUGUUUCCUUUGCUGUGGAGAAGCUUUCUAUUUUGAUAUCAUCCCAUUUAUUGAUUAUUGAUUUUACUUUUUGCACUUUAGGAGUAUUGUUAAGAAAGUCAGUUCCUGAGCUGACAUGUUGGAGUGUGGGCCUACAUUUUCUUCUAGUAGGUGCAGGGUUUCUGGUCUAAUUCCUAGGUCUUUGAUCCACUUUGAGUUGAAUUUUGUGCAGGGUGAGAGAUAGGGGUUAAAUUUCAUUUAUGUAGGGAUUUCCAGUUUUCCCAGCACCAUUUUUUGAAGAGGCUAUUUUUUUUCCAUUAUAUGUUUUUGGCACCUUUAUCAAGUUUGAGGUAACUGUAAUCUGUGGGUUUGUCUCUGUGUCUUCUAUUCUGUUCCAUUGGUCGUCUUAUCUGUUUUGGUACCAAUGUCAUACUGCUUUGUUACUAUAGCUCUGUACUAUAAUUUAAGGUCUAGUACUGUGAUGCCUCCUGCUUUGCUUUUCCUUGCUAAGGAUUGCUUUGGCUAUUCUGGGCCUCUUAAUUUUCCAGAUCAGUUUCAUGACUGCUUUUUUUUAUUAUUUAUAUGAGGAAUGUCAUUGGAAUUUUGAUGAGAAUUGCAUUGAAUCUGUAAAGCACUUUUGAUAGUAUGGCCAUUUUGAUAUAUUAAUUCUGCUUCUUCAAGAAUGUGGAGGGUCUUUCCAUCUUCUGAGGUCUUCCUCAAUUUCUUUCUUUGCUAUUCUGAAGUUUUCAUUGUAGAAGUUCUUUACCUCUUUUGUUAGAGUGAUUCCCAUGGGACUAUUGUGAAUGGGAUAGUUUUCCUAAUUUCUCUUUCAGCUAUUUGUUGUAAUAUAGGAAUGCAGUUGAUUUUGGGGUGUUAAUUUUGUAUCCUGCUACUUUGCUGAAUUCAUUUAUAAUUUCUAAAAGUUUUCUGGUGGAGUUUUUUUGGUCUUCUAAAUAUAAGAUCAUGUUGUCCGCAAACACAUAUAGUUUGAGCUCUUCUUUUCCUACUUGUGUCCCUUUAAUUUCUUUCUUUUGCCUAAUUGUUUCAGCUAGAAUUUCAAGGACUACGUUGAAUGGAAGUCGUAAAAGUGACCACCCUGUCUUGUUGCAGUUUUUAGAGGGAAUGUGUUCAAUUUUUCUCUGUUUAGAAUGAUGUCAACCUUGGAUUUGUUGUAUAUAGCUUCUACAGUGUUUAACUAUGUACCUUUUUAAAAAAAAAAAAAGUUUAUUUUUUAGUUCUAAGUGGACACAGUUUCUUUAUUUCAUUUUUUUAUGUAGUACUAAGGAUCCAACCCAGUGCCUCACACAUACUAGGGGAGUGCCCAACCACUGAGCCACAACCCCAGCCCAUGUUCCUUUUUCCCUAUUUUUUACAUAAUAAUUAUUAAAAAAUCAGUUCAUCAGAAAGAAUAAUAACUGUAAACUUACAUGCACUAAACAACAGAGUCCCAAAAUACAUGAAGCAAAUGUUGAAGAAUUAAAGGGAAAACAGAUGAUUUUACGGUAAUAGUUAAAUUUUAGUAGUCCAGUUUUCAGUAAUAGGACUGUUAGCAGAUGAAUAAAGAAAUACAGGUCUGAACAACAUUAUCAACAAAUUAGACCUAACAGACAUACAGAACAUUCCAUCAAAUAAUGGCAGAAUACCAUUUCUCAAUAUAUGAUAUUGGAUUAACUAGACAUUCAUUUGCAUAAGAAUGAGUUUGUAUCCUUGCCUUAUGCAGUAUAUAAAAAUUAAAAAUUUAUGAAUACCUAAGUUUAAGAGUUAACACUAUAAAACUCAUAGAAGAAGAGAUAGGAAAAAUCUUCAUGACAUUGGAUUUGGUGAUGAUUUGUUGGAUAUGACAGCAAUCGCAAAGACAACAAAAGAAGAAUAAGAAAUAGGGCUUCAUCAAACUUAAAAAUGUUGUGUAUCAAAGGCCAUUAUCAGGAGUAUUAAAGACAAUCUACAGAAUCAGAGAAGAUAUUUAUUAUUUCUGAUAAUAAUUAACAAGCAGAAUAUGUAAAGAACUCAAACUCAACAACAACAACAAAACAAAUUAAAAAUGAGCUAAGGACUCAUCUUCCAUAGAAGAUGUACAAGUGGCUGAUAAUCACAUGAAAAACAUAUUCAACAUCACUAGGCAUUUGGGAAAUGCAGAUCAAAACCACAGUGGGAUGCUACUUUACACCCACUGGGAUGACUAUUAUAAAAUAAAUAACAAAUCUUAGGAAAGAUGUGGAGAAACUAGAACCCUAUGCUUGCUAAUAGGAAUGUAAAAUGGUACAACCACUGUGGAAAACAGUUUGGCAAUUCCUCUUAUCAUAAAACAAGGAUUACCCUGUUUUCUAAUACUUCCACUUCUGUAUAUACCCAAAAUAAUUGAAAGCAGAGACUCAAACAGAUGAUUGCAUACCAGUAUUCAUAGGAGUAUUAUUCAUAGUAGCUAAAAUGUGGAAAUACUCCUAAUGUCCCUUGACAAAUUUUUAAAAUUUGGUAUAUUUAAUCAGUAGAAUAAUAUUCAGCCAUUAAAGGAAAGAGAUUCUGAUACAUGUUAUAAUGUGGAUGAACCUUAAAGACAUUCUACUAAGUGAAAUUAGACACAAAAGAGAAUUAUAUUAUUCCACUUAUUAGAUAUAUAGACAGAAUACAUGAUAGAGGUUGCCAAGAUGUGGAAGGAGGAGAGAAUGAGGAGUUAUUGUCUGAUGGGUAUAGAGGUGGGUAUUUUUGUUUAUUGGUUUUGUGAGUGUGUGUGUGUGUCUUUGUGAAAAUUCUGGAUAUGAAUAGUGAUGGUUGUACAAUAUUGUGAAUGUUCUUAAUGCCACUGAAUUAUAUAAUUAAAAGCCAUUAAAACUAUAAAUUUUACAUUAAGCAUGUUUUACCAUAUUAAAGAUUUUGUACCCAAUAGUUUACUUGAUGUCUGAUGAAAAUUAGUGGGAUUGAUUUUGUGGUAGAAAAAGUUUCCAUGUAGACAGAAGGACAAAUACAGUGUUUGUCAAUCUAGUGUUCAUAACAUCCUUGAUGUUAAUUGACUAUUUUGUUUCAUAUUAAUUAUAUCCAGAACAACAGGUUGAACGGUUAUUUUACUUUAUAACUUAAAGACUUUAUAGACAAGAAUCUGAACGAAAUGCAGGGUUUUUCCUUCUCUGACCUAAAGAUAAGCAGUAGGAACCUACUACUAUGACAAAACUCCAGUCUUUCUUCUGGAAUAUAUUAUGAUGGGGACUGUUCUCAACCACUAUCUUAACAUUGUUUUUUUCAGAGCUAGCUCAAAGACCGGUUGGCUCCCAAGAUAGCAAGCAGUGCUUAAAAGACUUUUUUCUAAAAUAGUACAUUUUUCUACAAGGAUACAGUAUGGCAAAAUGGUUAAAAGCUUAGACCUUGGCAUCAAACAGCCUCACUUGGAGUUUUGGCUUCACCAAAAGCUUUGUGACCUUUUGUAAAGUUGCCUAAUCGCUCCGUAACUCUUUUUUUUUUUUUGGUACUAGGAAUUGAACCCAGGGGCAUUUAACCACUGAGCCACAUCCCCAGUUAUCUACCCUCACCCCUCUCUGUUUUUUUUUUUUUUUUUUCUCUAUUUUAUUAGAGACAGGGUCUUGCUGAGUUGCUUAGGGCCCUGCUAAAUUGCCUAGGCUGGUUUUGAAUCCUCCUGCCUCAGCCUCCUGAGCCACUGGGAUUACAGGUGUGUGCCAACUGCACCAGCCUUCAUAACUCAUUUUUAAAAUUCAUCUGUAUGGAAGUAUAAUUUAUACUAUAUUACUUCAUAGAUAUUAAAUACUCAGCAAAUAUUAAUUGUUGCUGUUGCUGUUGCUGUUGCCUUUACUUAUAAAUGGGCUCAGGGUCCAGACCUGUAGUCAGGAGGAGUCUAGAAGAAUGUGUUUCUCAUUUAGCUUUCCAAGGUUCUUCUACUAAACACACUUUCUUUUCCUCUCAAUCCUCUAAUGGUAUCAUUCUGUACUACCUGCAACCUUUUCUUUUUUGGGAGUGUGUUUGGACUGCUCAUCAAAAUUAGAGACUGAGCAACCCAUUUUAAUUUUGUUAUAUUUUAAAAUUUAUUAGCAUAUUAUAACUAGAGUUCACUAAGCAAUAUUUUUCAUUCACUCGGUUUUUUAAAAUAUUUGCUGAAUCCCAGUCUUUUCUUUCUCCCAUUGGCCUUCAUCCUUUUUGGACCUUAGAUGUUGAGAGUAGAUUAAUUAUAUCCUUCAGCUCCAUAACAUACUAUUGUCAUCAGUAUGUCCCUCUCUGGUCUUAUUUUUACCCUUCAAACCUAACCUCCACCCUGUAUGUUCUUCCCUUUGAGUAUCUACUCUGAUAUGUCUUUACAUGCACUUUGUAAACAGGUAAUAGUUUUGUAUUUACUUAUGGGAAGAUAGUAUGCUGUGAAUAUCAACAUGACAUUUUAAAACUCUACCUAUGUUUUUUUAAAUUAUUUUUUAGCUGUCAAUGGAUCUUUUAUUUGUUUGUUUUGUUUAUAUGUGGUGCUGAGGAGCUAACCCAGGGUCUCACGCAUGCCAGGCAAGCGCUCUACCACUGAGCCACAACUCCAGCCCCCUAUCCAUUUUAUUUUAAUAUGAUUAUUAGUGCUUCUAACUUUUAACUGUAUUUUAAUCUGUUUUCCAAAAGAUGAACAUUUAGAUUACUGUCAGUUCCACACUACCACAAAAUGUCCUGCAGUAAACAUAGUUUUACAUUAAUAUUUGUAGAUGGGAUGAUAAUAUGUGUCCAAACUGGAAUGAUUUUGAAAUUGAAAAGGAACACUUAAUAACACUGGGGCAGAAGGUGUAUACCACGACUUCCAGACAAACCAGAUUAUGUGAACACCCUAUUCAUGAAAGAUUUUUCUAGAGUAUAGCUAAUAAUUAGAAGAUAUGUACUGGAUAGGCUUUCUCCUUCCAGUUGUUUCAGAUUGGCAUCUGUUCCAGUUUGUUGAUAAAAUGUGCUGGAUGAUUGUUGCAAAUUUAAAAUUUCACCCUUGCCAGAAAAUACUCCUAAAGGGGAUUUCUAGGUCACAGGUUAUAGACAUACUUAAUUUCAAUAGUUUAAGUUCUAAUGUAGUCUUUUCCUGUUUAUAGGUGGGUGGACUUUUAAAUCUGUCUAACCAUUUUUCAGGAGUUCUCACAUUUGUACUGUGUAUUUAUUCCUCCUUUUGCAGCAAAACUAUAUAGUUUUGGUAAGUAGCCAUUACUAGUUUAUUGAUAACUACUCCUAGAACCUUACUCCAAUAUAACAACUACUGUGUAUUUUAUAAAGAAUUUUUUUCAUAUUUUAUGU